UUGGACAAUGGGGGCAACCCUGAUCCAGCCAUGCCGCGUGAGUGAAGAAGGCCCUCGGGUUGUAAAGCUCUUUUGUCCGGAAAGAAAAGCUUCGGGUUAAUACCCCGGGGUUCUGACGGUACCGGAAGAAUAAGCACCGGCUAACUUCGUGCCAGCAGCCGCGGUAAUACGAAGGGUGCAAGCGUUACUCGGAAUUACUGGGCGUAAAGCGUGCGUAGGCGGUCUGUUAAGUCUGCUGUGAAAUCCCCGGGCUCAACCUACGAAUGGCCGCGGCAACUCGCUCGCUAGAGUACGGUAGAGGAUGGUGGAAGACCCGGUGUAGCGGUGAAAUGCGUAGAGAUCGGGAGGAACACCAGUGGCGAAGGCGGCCAUCUGGAACAGUACUGACGCAGAGGCACGAAAG
This 403-nucleotide ribosomal RNA is filed under the name uncultured bacterium. RNAcentral's name for it is "bacterial SSU rRNA". It matches the Rfam family "Bacterial small subunit ribosomal RNA", at positions 364 to 759 of the family's 1533-position model. The record is from RNAcentral.